CUGAAAGGCUAGGGGUGCUUUCCGCUGUAUGCAAGCCCGGAAAGCUGAGAAAAACCCUUUGAACCUGAACCGGUUAACACCGGCGUAGGAAAGCCCUAUCUUCCCUGC
Non-coding RNA from Proteobacteria bacterium ST_bin11, 108 nucleotides. NCBI's taxonomy places the organism in Bacteria, Pseudomonadati, Pseudomonadota. The record is from Rfam.